Molecule: non-coding RNA, 3191 nt
Organism: Chrysemys picta bellii (western painted turtle)
Lineage: Eukaryota; Metazoa; Chordata; Testudines; Emydidae
Source: RefSeq, a predicted model, not a curated record
AGAGAGGAAAUUAAUAAAAUGUAAACAAAUGCAAACCCCUCCUCCAAGUAGAGUUUUGACCCCCGAAAGGAGACAUGCCAGAGACUCCAUGAAAUCCACUACGCACUUGGUUAUUGCUAUGGAUUUUAUGUGGAAGGUGCCCAUGUAUUACAGAGAUGGGCAGCGAGAUAAAAGCCUAAGCAAGAUAGCGCUGACAAAACUACCAUGUGGGCAGGACCCUGGAGAUCCUCUUCUGGACGAGGCUGCCACAGGCUGGGAAGCAGGACCACCGCGGUGCCGUUUGGGCACUGACUGCUAGUACGCACUGGAAAUGUGAUAACAAUGUGAAGUCCUCCCUUUAAUCAGCUGCCAGUUGAUUAAGUCUGCAGAAUUGCCCAGUUACCGCUCUCGAAAUAAAGGGGCAGAGCUCAGAGCACCCGGAUUAGCAGGGACCACAGCUCCCACCCCUUGUGCCAACUAAUGCUCAUCUCUAAUAAGUAUUAAUACAACGCCACAACUGUGCAAGGCACAUCACAGGUUAAAGAAGGGGAGAGACACAGUCCCUGCCUCAAAGAACUUCUUGUCUAAAUAAGAUGACACAGGACAGGACGGGGGAGAGACAGAGGGAGGGGAGGGCUGGAAGGAAUCAUGUGAUUCACAGUACAAAGCGGUGGAUCACGGACACGUGUUUAAGUGGUGAUUGAGGUUGGGCAAGACAGGAGCAGACAGCAGAGGGGAGAGCCAGCAGGAUUCAAGGAGGGAGCUGAAGGAGAAGAACGAGGAGGGCUGAGGUUCCAGGCACAGGAAAGGAGAGGCAUACCCAAAAAGUUGCUAGCGGCCUUCAGCUCAUGAUGCAAAAAGGGGGUUGGAGGAUCCAGCACCAUCAGAAUGAAGGGUGGCUCUGCAGUGCACCCAUGCAGUACCAGAGUGCAGGACCUCCCACGCGAGGGCCCUGCUCCUUCAAGCUGGCACCAUAUGCAGACAGCACUGUGCUUUCAAGUCAGGCGCAGAACUUCACUGGCCUGAAGGCUGUUCCCGAAGAGGAAAAGCCCCUCACUGCAAAACAAGCAGAAACUCCCAUGGCCAACCUAGGAAGGAAUGACUAUAAAUGUGCAAAGGGAUCAACACGCAGUGCGUCCAGGCCCCUCUGUCUCCAACCUCCAGACAAAGGCUAUUACCAGCCAAGGCAUGUCUAGCCUGACCCAGUGACCUCAGCACACGUGGGAACAUGACAACCCGAUGAGGAGAGAGGAACUGGUGAACGGAGGCACACUGGGAUUUUUCUAAGGAAUAUUCAGAUUUCCUUUGGCUACUUACAAGGUGCUGAACUAGAUGAACCCAGCAACAAGGGAGACACCACAAUGGUGGACACAGGCUGCUGUCCUUUAGCAUAGCCUUCCUGACCUGCUGCCACUCUAUGGAGUGGUACAGAAGAAGCCACCAUGUCCACACAGCCUACCUGCCUGCCCUGGCCAGACCAGAGAGAGGUGCUCACAGAGGUAGCUGGCGAGAAGGAAGUAGACUGGGCAGUAUGAGAACAGCUGGAAAGAGAAGGUGGGCUAUAGCCAACGCGUAGCUGAUGGGGGCUACAGCUAGAACCCCUCCCCCAAAACAUGACUACAGUAUUGCCCCUUUAAACAUUUCUCCUCUGUGUUACUCAAAGGGGAACUUCAAAAUAAAAGGGAAGAAUGAGGGAAGCCCACCCAGAAUCUAGUGCAGAGACCCCAUGCACCAGCUUUGACUAACUUUUUAACAUUCUUUGUUGGUAUCCCUGGGCUCAGUGAAGAUAUCCCACAAUGCUUCACUCUGACAUAAUUAAUGCCAUAGAUUGCAAAAAAGGCACCUGGUAUUUGCGGUCUUGUGUUCCGAGAUCAUUUUGCUGAGCCAGGAAGUACCAGGAGAAGAAUUCCACAGAGGGAGAAAGAAGAUUUUUUAAAUUAAUGGAAUCUGGGUUACCUGAUUCCCCCCAGCCCACCCCCAAGCCUGGUUAGACAGACAGGAGCUUUGGCAUCAGAAUCUGGACUACACUCAGGUCUUAUUUUUCUUUUGCAUUCACCUUAAAAAAAAACAACAACAACCCUAAAGCUAACUGCCAUAUGAGGAAAUUAGUGUUUAGGAAACAAACGUUAAGUGCCUUGGCUCUGAUGGGUUUCUAAUCUAGAGAUGACGGCAAGAUUUGCCUAGUAAGACGCUUGAAGAGUUGUCAUAGUCUGAGCUAACAGCUUUGUUGUGUGGUGGUUUUUUUAAGAACUGGUGCAGUAGAGGAGCAUUUUGGGACCUGUAGCUCCGGAUUACCUGUCUAAAUGGACACGGGUACAUUUAAAAAAUUCCUACUGACAAUUUAAACGAUUCCAGAGUCUGAGGAGCCCCUUUUAAACAAUGCGGAAACAAUUAUUUACCUAAAUUCCUUUAUAAAACGUUGAUUUGCAAAAGGUGUUUUCUGCUCCCCUGUGAUAUUUGCAAGGGUCUAUCCAGCAGGGAAGAGUGGCAGCACCAAAUAUGCUUGAACGCACCCUCUCCUUCCUCUCUGGGCACAGGCCUGUUUGCCGACUUCUCCGUUUCAGUUUUGCAGCUGUUAUUACCGGUAAACACCCUUUUGCAAGGUAUGAGGGGCACAGUAUGUAUGCACACAAGCCCUCUACCCCAGUCAAAAGCAGAGCAGGCAUGGGACUGGCCGCACAGCGGUGAGAUCAGCUAGAGCAUAAGACAGGACGCGUAACUGACCAACAAAACAGUGAAAGUAACUCCACACAAAACAGUUGCCAGUGCAUAAGGGGAACACUAAAGAAAAACAAACAAUUGUUUUCAUAGCUAUAGGAAUCUUAUGGGGUAUUUAUAACAGUAAUCCAUAAAAUUUUCAGCGGGAAAUGAGAUUCCUAACUUGUAAACAUCCCUUUAAAUCACUGUCAGAUACAAUCGCUUUCAUUUUAAUCUCACAAGAAGGGUUUGGUUUUUUUAAAAAAUCGUUUCUAAACAUAGCUGCAGCGCUAACAAAAGUCUGAGUUAUUUUAAAAUGUUUUGACACGUACCUAGUCUUCGAUCUUGAUUAAUAUAAACAAGGGCUACAGUGAGUUAUGUAACAGGUAAUGUAACGGGCCCACAAGACGGCCCACCCAAGGGACCUAUCCCCCAUGCAAGCACCCACGCACUGCUAGGCCUUCAACCAACCAAGUGUGGGUGGUUUCCAGCAGAACUGCAUGCUGAAGAUUAUA